UUUUUUUAAACCGGGCGUUACCCCUUUCCAUUGCAAACAACGGAAAUACAACCAUUUCCGAAUACAAAGACAGAGAGAGGGAAAGAGGUAAGGCGAGUUCAAGCAUUACCAGGAAACCCACUGCCACUCGGGUCACCGUCGACCCGAACGCUGUGGGGCGAAAACCUGGUAACACCUAAAGUUAACAGAUAGCUAAGUCCCAGGACACCCAGAGAUGGUUACAUGUCAACACACCAAAAGAUCAUCAAAUCAGAAGAGGGGAAACUACUAUGAGGAAGAUGGCCCUCCCAGCAGAACAUUCAUUUUAUCCUGUCCUCAAAGCAGUGUACCUCCACCACGCUCUUCAUGCUCCUCCAAUUGGUUGGGCAGUGGUCCCGCAAAGUCUCAUCAGCUGCAUCAUGCUGGCCCUGAUCAUCUUGGCACCUGAGCGAAGCUUGUCAGCGUCAUCACCCUUCUGCAGUCCUGUCCAAUACAAAAGAAAGGAGCAUAUAGAGAACACAAUUUCAAAGGGAGACUUAAUUUGCUUUUUCUCAAAGGUAGCCUUAUUGCGAGCAAGCCAGAUCGCCCAGCAAGUGGCAGCAAGACCAACAAUAUAAAACUUAUCCCCUCCUGGAAGAAAGGAAUAGCACCAAGCAAAGAAUUGCCAGUAGUUAUCAGGACACUUAUCAGUACCAAUAGCCACCCCAAUAGAUCGCCACACCACCCUAGCGACCGAACAAGUAAAGAACAAGUGCUGGGAAGUCUCAAUUUCGUUACAAAAUGAACAAACAGGGUUCCUAGGCCAAUUCCUAUGAUGCAUCACCUGUCUAGUCAGCACCGCAUCUUGCGAAAGUUGCCACAUAAAAAUUUUAACCUUAAGAGGAAUUUUGGCCUUCCAAAUCCACUUAUAAUGGCACCCACUGAGGGGUUUCUCUAGCAACUUAUAAACAGAUUUGGUACUAAAUUUACCAUUCUGGUUCAAGCUCCAAACCACACGAUCCUCUUUGUCAGUUAAAGGAAGUUUAUUAACUGUAUCCAAAACAACCCCCCAUUGCUCAGAUAGCACAGGAGUGAGCCUUCUUCUAAAAAAGGAAGCACUAUCCACAUUCAACACUUGUUUGAUAGUACAUUCAGGAAUAUUGCAAAUGUCAAAGAGUUGAGGGUAAUCCUCCUUAAACGGAAGUAGUCCGUUAAUGGAGUCACUCCAUACCCUGGCAAUGUUUCCAGACUCGAUGUUGAUCUUUCUACCAGUCAUGUAAACUUCCUUGACUUUCAGCAAGGCUUUCCAACAGGGAGAGUCAGAAAACCUUGGGCCAACAUCAGCUACCGUUCUAUUCCGCAAGUAACGAGCACGAACGAUGUCUUGCCACAACCCACUUUGUGUCUCAAGCUUCCACCACCAUUUCACCAUCAGACUAAUGUUCUGUUUGCGCAGGUCUUUGAUACCUAGACCACCCUUUUCUUUGGAUCUGCAAAUCCUGUUCCAUCUCACAAGAUAGUAUAUCUUUUUUAGUACAACCUUGCCAGAAGAAUCUUCUUCUAUGUUUAUCCAAUCUCUCAAUGAACGUUUUGAUCAUCAGCCACAUGGACAUAUGGUACAAGGAUAUUUGAGUGACAACAGAGUCAACUAAAGUGUGUCUCCCUCCCAUGGAGGCAGCAUUACCUACCCAAGCAUCAAAUCUUUUCAAAUAUUUGCAAACAAUGAACUCCCAAUCGGAGUUUCUCAAAGUAGUAUAGCUAACAGGCAUGCCCAAAUAUUUAAUGGGAAAGCUGCCUAUAUCACAAUUGAAGAGGUCGGCAUAUUGCUUAAUCACAACAUCGUCUCCCCCAACAGUCAGAAUUUCACUUUUUGAAAAUUAACUUUCAACCCGGACAUCAUUUCGAACAUAUACAUCAGCAACUUCAGAUUGACUGCUUUAUCGAUGUCAUGCUCAAGACAAAUAAUUGUGUCAUCUGCGUACUAAAGUACCGCAACUCCAUCAGGGAUCAGGUCCGCAGCUAAGCCAACCAGCAACUUAUUACGCUGAGCAUUUUUUAUCAUCUUCGUGAGGCAUUCGGCAGCUAAGUUAAACAAGAAUGGGGAGUGAGGGUCGCCUUGUCGCACCCCUUUCGCACUUUGUAAGUACGGCCCCACACUGUUAUUUAACUUGAUGCUAACCGUGCCAUUUCGAAGGAUCUGAUUAAUCCAUCCACACCAGGUAUCAUUGAAUCCCUGCAGCUUGUGGCAUUCUAAUAGGAACUCCUAGUUAACCUUAUCAUACGCUUUUUCAAAAUCCAGUUUCAACACCACCCCAACCUUUUUCUUCACAUGUGUGUAAUUAAGGAUUUCAUGGAGUGAAAGCACCCCAUCCAUAAUGUUCCUACCCUUGACAAAGGCAUUCUGGACUGGGCUAAUUAGCUUGUCAGCAUAAACCAAGACUCGGCGGUCUAGGACUUUUGUGAUAAGUUUAUAAGGGCAACGAAGCAAGCAAAUGGGUCUGAACUGUUGGAUUUUGUCAGCCCCGGAGAGCUUCGGGAGCAAAGUGAUGAUCCCGUAGUUCAACCUUUGAACAUCCAACGUCCCUUGACGAAAGUGUCUAAACAAGACCAUGAUAUCAUCCUUGACAAUAUCCCAGCAUACUUGGUAGAAUUCUACCGAUAUAUUGUCAGGUCCAGGAGCUCUAUUGGGAGCCAUUUCAAAAAGGGCCUCCUUGACCUCCUCUUCAGAAAAUUCUCUACACAGGUUAGUGUUAUCUUCCUUACUAAGUUUUUCCUCCGGAGUCCAUGUGUCAGGGUCCAGGUGAAACUGGUUUCCAGAAGCUGUCCCGAAUAGUUCUUUAUAGAACUCUGUGGCAUGAGCGAUCAGCUUAUUAGUACCUUCUAUCUCCGUAUAACCCACCUUAAGGGAGUGGAUCGUGUUUUUCCUUUUACGCCCAUUAGCUAUACGAUGGAAGUAAUCGGUAUUUAAAUCCCCUUUAAGCAACCAUCGCUCGUGCGAUUGUUGCAACCAAAAAAUUUCCUCAUUAACAAGCAGCUCAUGAAGUUCAAAACAGGCAUCGAUCUUCCUACUGUACAGCUCAGGGGAAAGAGGGGCCUCUUCUUCUAACUCUUCCAACAGUUCCAGCUCCAUCCGGAGGUCAUCCUUUCUUUUCUUAUCAUGACCAAAUUUAUCCGAACCCCACCCUUAAAAAUAAGACUUGAAUCUCUUGAGUUUGAUGUUUAAGACAUCGAUGGGGUCAGAAGAGAAAACCUUACACACCCAAAUUUUCUGAACCAGCGGGAGGAAUCUAUCAUCUUUAACCCACGCCAAAUCGAACUGAAAUUCUCUAGGUUUCGGAGCCUCACGCCCCACUUCACCCGUGGAUAACAACAUGGGGUUGUGGUCUGAAAUUUCCCGAACCAGUUUCCUGACACAGACCAAAGGAAACAAAUCCUCCCAAGUUUCAGACAUCAAGAUGUGGUCAAGCUUCUCCAAAGUGGGGUGUGCUUGAUUAUUAGUCCAAGUAUACUUGCCACCACUAAUGUGUAUCUCUCUAAGAGCUAGGAUAUUUAUAAUGGAGUUGAAAAGAUCAGAAGAUUUGUGAUUAGAUAACCUUUUAUUUUUCUCUCCAGAGUGCCUAAGGAUAUUAAAGUCCCCACCAACAAUGUACGGGACUUGCAUACAGCCACACAUUGAGGCAAGCUCACUAAGGAAUUCUUCCUUAAAUUCCUCAUGAGCAGAACCAUAGACUAUCAACAAACCCCAAUUGGUCUUUUUCUUCUUAUCAUACAACACUAGUUGUAAGAUAUACUUGCCCUUGUCACAGGAGAUAAUAUCCAAGUUAUCAUUUUUAGCACCACACAGGAUACCCCCGGACUUCCCAACAGAGGGAAUCCAGUUCCAACUAAAAACGCUAAAAGGAUCAAUUUUCCUCAGGCAACCAGGAGUAAAUUUCUUUUUCAUGGUCUCUUGCAACCCCAGGAAAUCUACAGAAUGGUCACUGAUCAUAUCAGAGAGGCAGGUGGCCAUUCCCUUCUUGCCUACCCCCCUACAGUUCCAUAUGACACCUUUCAUUUAGAACGUUUUUUAUGGUGCUGAGUCCUAAUAACCCUACCAGGAGGCAGUGUAGGGUUACAGACAUCAUCUCCUAUGGGAUCCUUCCUUUUUUGGCUCCUAGUCACAGGCCUAGAGAGCUUAACCGCAGAUCUACGUUGUUUUUUCUUAUUAGAUCUGCCAGCAGAGCAUUGCUCAUUUAUAGUUUCAUCAUGUUCUAACCAGUCAAGGUUAACAUGAGCUUUCUUCCCCAGCCCAUUAGUGACAAUAAUGUCAUCCUCAUCACCCUGCCUAUUGUCCUCUAUACUUUUCUUUUCUUCUAAAUUCCCUCUGACUAUUUCCAACUCCCGAAGCACAUCAAUAUAAGUAAAAUCAUUAUCAGGAAUACAGACCCCCAUUUUAGCAGCUCUAAUCAUCAACUCAUUAUCAGAAAGAGCUGCGAAAGAAUUUUUAUUCAGGUUUGGUUUGUUACCUGCCCCAUCUUUCUCAUUGGCCAUCCUCACAGCUCUAGCUUCCACAUUCUCCUGCAUGCUUCGAGCGUUAUGCUUGCUGAAUCUUUGCACGCCCUCAGGGGCAAGUGGCGGAGUGAGCACGAUCUCCUCAUUAUGAUUAGGUGAAGGGAGUUGUACCACAUACUCAGCAGAAGUCUUCAAUUUUGGGUCCACCUCUCCAUCAACCUCCACAACCUGAGUAAUAUUAGUAACAGCAGCAGCAUAUGAUAGGCUACGAUUGACCAUAGUUUUAUUUUUUACCUGCACCUUGUGG
This 4756-nucleotide long non-coding RNA is filed under the name Triticum aestivum (bread wheat). RNAcentral's name for it is "long non-coding RNA (TAES_LNC010037)". Lineage: Eukaryota; Viridiplantae; Streptophyta; Magnoliopsida; Poales; Poaceae. The record is from RNAcentral.